Molecule: ribosomal RNA, 750 nt
Filed under: uncultured bacterium
Lineage: Bacteria
Description: bacterial SSU rRNA
Rfam family: Bacterial small subunit ribosomal RNA
Source: RNAcentral
GGGGAGGUUACAUGGCAAGUCGAGGGGCAUCGGGAGGGAAGCUUGCUUUCCUUGCCGGCGACCGGCGCACGGGUGAGUAACACGUAUGCAACCUGCCCUCUUCAGGGGGACAACCUUCCGAAAGGGAGGCUAAUCCCGCGUAUAUCGGUUUCGGGCAUCCGAGAUCGAGGAAAGAUUCAUCGGAAGAGGAUGGGCAUGCGGCGCAUUAGCUUGACGGCGGGGUAACGGCCCACCGUGGCGACGAUGCGUAGGGGUUCUGAGAGGAAGGUCCCCCACACUGGUACUGAGACACGGACCAGACUCCUACGGGAGGCAGCAGUGAGGAAUAUUGGUCAAUGGGAGAGAUCCUGAACCAGCCAAGCCGCGUGAGGGAAGACGGCCCUAUGGGUUGUAAACCUCUUUUGUCGGAGAACAAAACCCGGGACGUGUCCCGGACUGCGUGUAUCCGAAGAAAAAGCAUCGGCUAACUCCGUGCCAGCAGCCGCGGUAAUACGGAGGAUGCGAGCGUUAUCCGGAUUUAUUGGGUUUAAAGGGUGCGUAGGCGGUCCGUUAAGUCAGCGGUAAAAUUGCGGGGCUCAACCCCGUCGAGCCGUUGAAACUGGCAGACUUGAGUUGGCGAGAAGUACGCGGAAUGCGCGGUGUAGCGGUGAAAUGCAUAGAUAUCGCGCAGAACUCCGAUUGCGAAGGCAGCGUACCGGCGCCAGACUGACGCUGAGGCACGAAAGCGUGGGGAUCGAACAGGAUUAGAUA